Humulus lupulus (European hop) is the source of this 885-nucleotide long non-coding RNA. RefSeq lists it as uncharacterized. The transcript has 2 exons. Lineage: Eukaryota; Viridiplantae; Streptophyta; Magnoliopsida; Rosales; Cannabaceae. The record is from RefSeq and is a predicted model, not a curated record.
GGAUUAGGGAUUCAUUUUUUCUCUACACAAAGAAGAAGUAAAAGAAGAGGACUGCAGCCGGGUUCUCUUCAAGGAUGGGUCCUCUGCACCCGUGCUUCUCACCGGUAGCGCCUACUACAGACGGAGGCGAGGGUGAAGGUGACACCUUCUGUAGAGGGAGGUGAAUUUGACAGCAACACUAUUGAGGUUCUCGGCACCUGGGGUCUAUCAAAGUCGCAUAUUCCAUUCUUCCAUUUCGUUGAAGUCGAGACCCAACAAGCAUUGAAUCCUCACUCUCAUGAUAAACUCAUAUCUCUGAAAGUUUUUGAAACUUUGAUCUCUAAAACUUUAUGAAAUUUUUUUCAUAGUGAACUUUUCUAAAAUGGCUUGUUUGGAGAUUUAAAUGGCUGUAAAGAAUGAAGAUUAUGUAACUAUAUGGGUGGCAAAGAUAUGGAAAGACAAUCAAUUAAUGUUUUCAGUAUGCGACUUCUAAGGGCUGAGUGUGGUGGGAAUAACACAUAUAACUACGAGGAAAUCAAUGAAACUCUAAAUGAAUGGGCAGCUAAGCUCCUUGGGUGGAUGAGCCGAAGCUAGGGUAACUUUUGAAAUUAGAAUUCAGAAACAAACUAAUUAAAUUUAAGGCGUGUACUUAUAUAGUUAAGGCAAGGAUUCUUACAUAGUUUUUUUGCAAGAAUGUAUUCACAUUUUAAUCAUGUAAGGAUAGUUACAUAGUUAAGACAAGGAUGUAUUUACAUAGUUAGUGCAAGAAUUAUACCUUUUAAUCUUGCAAGUUUAGCUUUAUAAUAUACUGAAUUAUGUUGAUUUUGCAUGCUAGGUGAUUUUGUUUGGAUUAUACUGUAAUUAACUUUUGAAUGAAUGUAGAGAUUUAAAACAGGAAAAAGAUUU